GGGGCGUCUCGCAAGCCGGCGGCCGGCGCUGACAUCGCACUCAGGUCAGGGGUUCGAUUCCCCUCAGCUCCACCA
This 75-nucleotide transfer RNA is filed under the name Alphaproteobacteria bacterium. RNAcentral's name for it is "tRNA-Val". Lineage: Bacteria; Pseudomonadati; Pseudomonadota; Alphaproteobacteria. The record is from RNAcentral.